GGGUCCUGACAGUACCUAGGUAAGGACUACUAGCCAGUCAGGAGCAGAGUAUGAGGGCCCUGACAGUACCUAGGUAAGGACUACUAGCCAGUCAGAAGCAGAGUAUGAGGGCGUGCUACGCUAGCAGCUAGCCGAGCAUAUAACGUGUUACAUAGUGACACACGUUUGUCUCUAAAGUAAAGGCUGGACUAAAACAGAGCU
Molecule: long non-coding RNA, 201 nt
Organism: Etheostoma spectabile (orangethroat darter)
Lineage: Eukaryota; Metazoa; Chordata; Actinopteri; Perciformes; Percidae
Exons: 3
Source: RefSeq, a predicted model, not a curated record